RNAcentral lists this ribosomal RNA (468 nucleotides) under uncultured bacterium. Its description in RNAcentral is "partial 16S ribosomal RNA". It matches the Rfam family "Bacterial small subunit ribosomal RNA", at positions 28 to 507 of the family's 1533-position model. The record is from RNAcentral.
GACGAACGCUGGCGGCGUGCUUAACACAUGCAAGUCGAACGGAAAGGCCCUGCUUUUGUGGGGUUCUCGAUUGGCGAACGGGUGAGUAACACGUGAGUAACCUGCCCUUGACUUUGGGAUAACUUCAGGAAACUGGGGCUAAUACCGGAUAGGAUCUCCUGCUGCAUGGUGGGGGUUGGAAAGUUUCGGCGGUUGGGGUUGGACUCGCGGCUUAUCAGCUUGUUGGUGGGGUAGUGGCUUACCAAGGCUUUGACGGGUAGCCGGCAUGAGAGGGUGAACGGGGACAAUGGGACUGAGAUACGGAGCAGACUGGAACGGGAGGCAGCAGGGGGGAAUAUUGCACAAUGGGAGGAAGCGUGAUGAAGAAACGCCGCGUGCGGGAUGACGGCCUUCGGGUUGAAAACAGCUUUAGCCUGAGACGAAGCGUGAGUGACGGUAAUGGGUAAAGAAGCACCGGCUAACUACGUG